This 76-nucleotide transfer RNA is filed under the name Vibrio alginolyticus. Its description in RNAcentral is "tRNA-Gly". It matches the Rfam family "tRNA". Rfam says of the family: Transfer RNA (tRNA) molecules are approximately 80 nucleotides in length. Their secondary structure includes four short double-helical elements and three loops (D, anti-codon, and T loops). RNAcentral also lists the same sequence under 3 other names. The record is from RNAcentral. Lineage: Bacteria; Pseudomonadati; Pseudomonadota; Gammaproteobacteria; Vibrionales; Vibrionaceae.
GCGACACUAGCUCAGUUGGUAGAGCGCAACCUUGCCCAGGUUGAGGUCACGAGUUCGAACCUCGUGUGUCGCUCCA